CUGAUCAAGCCUUCAAAACCUACUAGCAUGCGUGAUCAUUCGCACCUGACAUGGGAAUGGCUGAUGAGACCUCUUCUAGCCCUCAAGCCUGUGUCGAUUAAAUGCUACACAUAGCCCCAGACCAACAACAGGCUGAGGGGACAAGCGACUGCACGGUCUGACAUUAUGGCACGUCAAUUGAUGGCACCUACCAGCCACCCAAAACUGUGAUGAUUGUCCAACCGCCUGCAGGACAAUCAUCAUUAUAGAAGAAAGUCAAAAAGAUUAGUCAGCACUACAGUGACAUUCUCAUCAGCAUUAUAAAAACCUUCCAAAAGCAUGAAUAAAGUACGCAAGAGAUACGCCUACUCACUCUCUCCCAUUAAGAUCGUUUGAACUGUCUUUGUC
Molecule: long non-coding RNA, 387 nt
Filed under: Vitis vinifera (wine grape)
Lineage: Eukaryota; Viridiplantae; Streptophyta; Magnoliopsida; Vitales; Vitaceae
Description: long non-coding RNA (VVIN_LNC004105)
Source: RNAcentral